RNAcentral lists this ribosomal RNA (466 nucleotides) under uncultured bacterium. RNAcentral describes it as "partial 16S ribosomal RNA". It matches the Rfam family "Bacterial small subunit ribosomal RNA", at positions 28 to 505 of the family's 1533-position model. The record is from RNAcentral.
GACGAACGCUGGCGGCGUGCUUAACACAUGCAAGUCGAACGGAAAGGCCCUGCUUUUGUGGGGUGCUCGAGUGGCGAACGGGUGAGUAACACGUGAGUAACCUGCCCUUGACUUUGGGAUAACUUCAGGAAACUGGGGCUAAUACCGGAUAGGAGCUCCUGCUGCAUGGUGGGGGUUGGAAAGUUUCGGCGGUUGGGGAUGGACUCGCGGCUUAUCAGCUUGUUGGUGGGGUAGUGGCUUACCAAGGCUUUGACGGGUAGCCGGCCUGAGAGGGUGACCGGCCACAUUGGGAAUGAGAUGCGGCCGAGACUCCUACGGGAGGCAGCAGGGGAGAAUAUUGCACAAAGGGCGGAAGCGUGAUGAAGGAACGCGGCGUGCGAGAUGCCGGCAUUCGGGUUGUAAACCGCUUUGGCCUGUGACGAAGUGUGAGUGACGGUAAUGGGUAAAGAAGCACCGGAUAACCACG